AUUGAACGCUGGCGGCAGGCCUAACACAUGCAAGUCGAACGGUGACAGGAAACAGCUUGCUGUUUCGCUGACGAGUGGCGGACGGGUGAGUAAUGUCUGGGAAACUGCCUGAUGGAUGGGGAUAACUACUGGAAACGGUAGCUAAUACCGCAUAACGUCGCAAGACCAAAGAGGGGGACCUUCGGGCCUCUUGCCAUCGGAUGUGCCCAGAUGGGAUUAGCUAGUAGGUGGGGUAACGGCUCACCUAGGCGACGAUCCCUAGCUGGUCUGAGAGGAUGACCAGCCACACUGGAACUGAGACACGGUCCAGACUCCUACGGGAGGCAGCAGUGGGGAAUAUUGCACAAUGGGCGCAAGCCUGAUGCAGCCAUGCCGCGUGUAUGAAGAAGGCCUUCGGGUUGUAAAGUACUUUCAGCGGGGAGGAAGGGAGUAAAGUUAAUACCUUUACUCAUUGACGUUACCCGCAGAAGAAGCACCGGCUAACUCCGUG
This 490-nucleotide ribosomal RNA is filed under the name uncultured bacterium. RNAcentral describes it as "partial 16S ribosomal RNA". It matches the Rfam family "Bacterial small subunit ribosomal RNA", at positions 30 to 507 of the family's 1533-position model. The record is from RNAcentral.